GAGACUAAGUGGUCUGAAAAGGGACCACUGGGUGGCAGAAUGGUUCGCUGGCCGGAAAAAUAACCAGGCAAACCCAGAAGCAAGACGGAGCGUCCCGGUGGUCUGUCCUCUGAAUAAUGAAGGUAGACCUGGACCUGCAGGAACAUCAUCUGCUGCUAGACUUUAACUUUAUUCACCAGAACAAACUGAAAGCAGCUGAGAUUCUGGGAGGUUCAACACCAAAACCUGAAGUUUCAAAUUGAGCCGUCAACAGGACCAAGACACCUUUCAAACAACUACAGUAGUUAACCUGCUCUGUUGGUAGAUGUUAUGGUGUCUCCUUAAUCAGUGCAGACUGGCCUUUGCCAUAGCGGAAGGUAACCUUUUGACCCACAUGUAAAACAACAGAAAGCCGAUAAUCAG
Poecilia reticulata (guppy) is the source of this 402-nucleotide long non-coding RNA. RefSeq lists it as uncharacterized. Lineage: Eukaryota; Metazoa; Chordata; Actinopteri; Cyprinodontiformes; Poeciliidae. The record is from RefSeq and is a predicted model, not a curated record.